GGGGCUGAUUCUGGAUUCGACGGGAUUUGCGAAACCCAAGGUGCAUGCCGAGGGGCGGUUGGCCUCGUAAAAAGCCGCAAAAAAUAGUCGCAAACGACGAAAACUACGCUUUAGCAGCUUAAUAACCUGCUUAGAGCCCUCUCUCCCUAGCCUCCGCUCUUAGGACGGGGAUCAAGAGAGGUCAAACCCAAAAGAGAUCGCGUGGAAGCCCUGCCUGGGGUUGAAGCGUUAAAACUUAAUCAGGCUAGUUUGUUAGUGGCGUGUCCGUCCGCAGCUGGCAAGCGAAUGUAAAGACUGACUAAGCAUGUAGUACCGAGGA
Molecule: transfer-messenger RNA, 319 nt
Filed under: Escherichia coli
Lineage: Bacteria; Pseudomonadati; Pseudomonadota; Gammaproteobacteria; Enterobacterales; Enterobacteriaceae
Description: partial transfer-messenger RNA
Rfam family: transfer-messenger RNA
About the family: Bacterial tmRNA, also known as 10Sa RNA or SsrA, is named for its dual tRNA and mRNA-like properties. Its role is to liberate the mRNA from a stalled ribosome.
Source: RNAcentral